UAUUUAUUUUUGGUUCCUACUGCUUAUUUAUUUUCUUGUUAGAUUAAUUCUCAAUGUUUUCUACUGCAAUUUAAAAUACUCUUUUAGCUCAUAUACUAUCUUGUGAACUAACGUUUAUUGAAUUUUGUCAUUCAAUUUUUAAAUUUUAAUAGAGCCGUAUUUGUUGAUGUGCUGCAGAACAGAUAGUGCAGAUCAGGCAAAGGAAACCCGUUUUAUUAAGUAUUGUUUGAGUUAACAAACUGACGGGACCUCGUUCGUGGAUUCUCUCUUGAAUGUUUCUUCUCUUAAUAUAUAUUCUUAGAAAUGCGUAAAUAGAACUCGAUGGUUCAAUCUUAUGACUUAAAGUUUAGUUAUUUUCUGUGA
Erythranthe guttata (spotted monkey flower) is the source of this 363-nucleotide non-coding RNA. NCBI's taxonomy places the organism in Eukaryota, Viridiplantae, Streptophyta, Magnoliopsida, Lamiales, Phrymaceae. The record is from RefSeq and is a predicted model, not a curated record.